Molecule: non-coding RNA, 20 nt
Filed under: Arabidopsis thaliana (thale cress)
Lineage: Eukaryota; Viridiplantae; Streptophyta; Magnoliopsida; Brassicales; Brassicaceae
Source: RNAcentral
CUUGGGAUAGAGACGAAUAU